CCAGGUACCAGCUCGCAGCUGCACCCUGUUCCAUAGGCACCACAUGCACGGCAUCCAUGUGUCUCAGCUUGCGCUCUGUGUCCUGCCCUUUCCCUCUCUCUUUUGCAGGCCAUAACAAGGAUGUAGUUGGACCAUGUCCUCAGGGAAGCAGUAGGAAGGUGUCUAGGACAGAUGACAAGUGGUUCUCAAUCCUCACCACAGUUUGGAGCAGUUCUUGCUAGUCUAGAGUCAGGCACAACAGUAAAAUCACUUGCGUGCCUGCUUGAGCAAUACAGACAAAAUCAGAGAGCACUGAUUUUGCUCUUAUUUAAGAUCCUUUCUUGGCAGACAUAGGCUGUUUCCAUAGAAUCAACUCAGCUGGAGGAGGAAGGAAGACACAAGAUUCAAUCUCACUGCUUUCUCAAAAUUAUAAAUCAGCAGAAGAGCCCUCCAGGAGCGUGAAUGGCGUAUCUUAGUUAUCAAAAGAAGAAUUCCCGGUCCUGCAGAAAAAUGCAUAGCACAGCAUUGUCCGUGUCAUUAAAAAGAAAUUGCCGUGCCAUAUUCCCAUGCAGCCAAGAUCUCCUCAGGAAUGCAGGAUAUUGGUCACUGAACCUCACCAUCCAUGCACAAGUAAAUGAAUUAUAUGAUUCAGUGGUUACCAGAUACACAGCUCUCCCUCUCAUGUUGAAUUCCCACAUUUCUCAUUCCUCCCUCUCUCUCUUUUUGUAAUUACUCUCCCAUUUUCUCUGUUCCCAGUGACAGGUAUAAUACACAGAGUAUUCCUGGUUCCAAGCUGUACUGCUGCCUUCCUGGUUUUAUGGAAGCUUUCUCUGCAGGGAAGAAAGAAGCAUGGUCACUACUCGGCUGCUGGAUGAACGAUGAACAGCAUGACUGAGCAACAUGCCAUGGGGAGCAGGGAGCUGGGGGCAGCCCCUGCACAGUGCUCUUGUAGGCGCUCAGAAACCGGGAAGCAUUUACCAGAUUGCCGGCAGAAGCCAUCACACCAUUUCGUUUCCCUCUACUGAUGAUGUGUGAGAUAUGUUUAGGGAGUUUUUUUUUUUCUGUUUUGAUGCUAACAGAGGCUGGGGCUGGAAAGGAAAGCCGUAAUUUUUGGCAAAGCUUGCAGGUGACAUGGAAAACAGGAAGGGUCUCUCUGACAGAGCCAGGUUGCCAUACUCACUCUGCUCCCAUGGAAGACAGAAAGGGAUGGUGGGGGGGGUGGUGUUGUGAGGCCUCACACAGCUCCACCCCGAGGUCACCUCAUCUGCCUUUACCAACUUCAGCUUGAUGCUUCCCACAGGUACAGGUGCCCUAAUACUCCUCACUUCUUCACAGGCCACUGUUUCCAGACAUGCUGGAAGGGCAGAGAAAUAAGAUGGGGCAAUAAAAAGUGUUAAGGAAGGAAAGCUGGAAACAGAUUUCUUCCCCCAGCACCCUCUGUGAGAGUUGGAGAGCCAAUGUGGAGAGCUACUGCCAGAGAAAGUGGGAAUGAAGAGAGU
Molecule: long non-coding RNA, 1478 nt
Organism: Vidua macroura (Pin-tailed whydah)
Lineage: Eukaryota; Metazoa; Chordata; Aves; Passeriformes; Viduidae
Exons: 3
Source: RefSeq, a predicted model, not a curated record